Cyprinus carpio (common carp) is the source of this 1334-nucleotide long non-coding RNA. The record is from Ensembl. Lineage: Eukaryota; Metazoa; Chordata; Actinopteri; Cypriniformes; Cyprinidae.
UCUUUCUCACAAGGGUAGUACAAAACUUUCAAGCAAGAACAUUUCUCUUUUAUUUUCUAAUACAAUAAUGCUUUAAUUUACAGUUGUAAAUAAUAAUCAUGCUGUAUGUGUACUUGUUUUAACUUGAAUAGAACAGCCAUUCAGUGCUCACUGUUUCUCAAAUUACCGUAGAUGGGUAACCAAAAACAGAUUCCUUAAGAAUGUCAUGCAAACAUUUUCCAUGUGUGUGACUGCAUGGAUCAAAUUGGGAAAUAAACAGACUUUAGACAUAAGGCUGGAUUCACAGGGCCUGGGAUAUAAUUAUUAGGGAGGGCCACAGCCACCAUAUACGUUUAGCAGUGUACAGAUUCUGUGACACAAAUCACACUUGUGGAAACUUGUAGACACUUGCGUCACUCUCUGUCUUUCGUGCAUCCCUGUUUUUUGAUUACUUGCUCAGGAUUAUACUGUUGAUUCCAGACAUGACAAUCUUCUGAUCUCAACAGUUUGUCUUUUACGCUGUCCUCUCAGCCUAGUUUGGUUGUGUCUCAUUUAGACGUGUAUAUCAGAUGUAAAUCCAUCCACUCUGUUCUGAGGAAAAUAAAGGAUUUACAAGGAUUAGCAGAGAACAACAGACACAAGGCACUGUCCGAGUUCAGCUGGUGCCCUUCAUCAGAUAUCUAGUCAACCUUUAAUCACAAGAGUGGAGGCAGAGGGCAAGUUGGAUGCAAAAUUACUACUGCGAGCUUUGGGUCACUUUUUCAGACUUAAAAAAGCAGUGGCUUUUUAUGGAGCCUACCAGUUCUAACCUAGUUCUGGCGCAAUCAAGGUAAACAAUAACUAUGCCAAUAACUAUCACGUGUUAGAUGUUUCCAAGUUGAAAAGUAGAUCAUCAGCACCAUCAUAUUCACGUGCAGUGUCUGGAUAAACAGCCGCAACAGCUGUAAAUACACUGCAGAAGAAAGAGCCUGUAUGGGGAAAAUCCUGGAAACCUGCCUGCAGAGUUCAGUUCCGACCCUGAUCCAACUAGUGCUCCUGAAGAUCUUAGUUUGCUGGUUCACUUGUGUUUGAUCAAGGUUGGAGACAAACUUUUCAUGAAGGUAGAUCCCCUGAAACAGGAUUAGGAACUCAUGCAGUCAAGGAUUACUUCGUUUCUAGUUUUUGUCAAUCCAUGCUUUGGGUCGCAUAAGAAAUAAGUAAAAAAAAAAAAAAAAAAAUCCUGUAUACGUGCAUCUACAGAGCAGAAUAUCACAGACACUUUUACAGCCAUAUGCCUUUAUCAGGAACAUCAUACAUACAGUAAUUGCCCCGUUACAUUCAGUCUAUUUGUAGAGCAAGCUAUAUCUACGUAUCAU